UGCCUUGGUGGUGAAAUGGUAGACACGCGAGACUCAAAAUCUCGUGCUAAAAAGCGUGGAGGUUCGAGUCCUCUUCAAGGCAUAAUAUGAAAUAUUGAGAAUGCUCAUUGACUUGGAAUAAGUUCGGCAGCGGAUCACG
Molecule: transfer RNA, 139 nt
Filed under: Rosa chinensis
Lineage: Eukaryota; Viridiplantae; Streptophyta; Magnoliopsida; Rosales; Rosaceae
Description: sRNA RchiOBHm_CPg0501781
Rfam family: tRNA (bases 2-82)
About the family: Transfer RNA (tRNA) molecules are approximately 80 nucleotides in length. Their secondary structure includes four short double-helical elements and three loops (D, anti-codon, and T loops). Further hydrogen bonds mediate the characteristic L-shaped molecular structure. tRNAs have two regions of fundamental functional importance: the anti-codon, which is responsible for specific mRNA codon recognition, and the 3' end, to which the tRNAs corresponding amino acid is attached (by aminoacyl-tRNA synthetases). tRNAs cope with the degeneracy of the genetic code in two manners: having more than one tRNA (with a specific anti-codon) for a particular amino acid; and 'wobble' base-pairing, i.e. permitting non-standard base-pairing at the 3rd anti-codon position.
Source: RNAcentral